CAUUAAGAAGCUGUAGGAUAGCAACAGCCUUUUAAGCUGUAGGCAGGUGACUCAACCCACCCUUAAUGA
This 69-nucleotide transfer RNA is filed under the name Odorrana macrotympana. RNAcentral describes it as "tRNA-Lys". It matches the Rfam family "tRNA". Rfam says of the family: Transfer RNA (tRNA) molecules are approximately 80 nucleotides in length. Their secondary structure includes four short double-helical elements and three loops (D, anti-codon, and T loops). Further hydrogen bonds mediate the characteristic L-shaped molecular structure. tRNAs have two regions of fundamental functional importance: the anti-codon, which is responsible for specific mRNA codon recognition, and the 3' end, to which the tRNAs corresponding amino acid is attached (by aminoacyl-tRNA synthetases). tRNAs cope with the degeneracy of the genetic code in two manners: having more than one tRNA (with a specific anti-codon) for a particular amino acid; and 'wobble' base-pairing, i.e. permitting non-standard base-pairing at the 3rd anti-codon position. The record is from RNAcentral. Lineage: Eukaryota; Metazoa; Chordata; Amphibia; Anura; Ranidae.